UGCCAGCAGCCGCGGUAAUACGAAAGGGGCUAGCGUUGUUCGGAAUUACUGGGCGUAAAGCGCACGUAGGCGGUCUUGUAAGUUGGGGGUGAAAUCCCGGGGCUCAACCCCGGAACUGCCUCCAAAACUACAAAACUAGAGGAUGUGAGAGGAUAGUGGAAUUCCGAGUGUAGAGGUGAAAUUCGUAGAUAUUCGGAGGAACACCAGUGGCGAAGGCGACUUCCUGGGCCAAUACUGACGCUGAGGUGCGAAAGCGUGGGGAGCAAACAGGAUUAGAUA
RNAcentral lists this ribosomal RNA (279 nucleotides) under uncultured bacterium. RNAcentral's name for it is "partial 16S ribosomal RNA". It matches the Rfam family "Bacterial small subunit ribosomal RNA", at positions 506 to 784 of the family's 1533-position model. The record is from RNAcentral.